UAUAUAUAUAUAUAUAUAUAUAUAUAUAUAUAUAUAUAUAUAUAUACACACACACACACACACACAAUUUUUAUUAUUAUUUUAUUAUUUAUUUAUUUAUUUAUUAUUAUUAUUUUUUUGCAGAUGUUUCCAUGGCAGAGUCAAAUGAUGUGACAUAUUCAGAAGUCAUAACAAAAGUAAAGAAAUGCAAAGAUGCUGAUGCUGGAGUUGGUGAUGCAACUUAUGCUUCUGUUAGGAAGAAGGGUAACCAAAAAAAUAAAAUAAAAUAAUAAUUGUGUUAUAAUUGUACAAUAAUUUAAUAAUAACUGACAGCAAGCUCACAAUUUGCACUUGUUGUCGUAGAUUGUGGCAUAUAUUGGUUCUUUUACAUUAUAAAUCUCCUUUACGGGUUUCAGUUACUUCUUAGAUCUGCAUUAUUCACAUCACCUGCAUCAUCUUGUAUCUGUUUUAUCUGUUAAAGGUCCCUGAGUGCAGUGAAGAUAACAGACGGCUGAAAGAGAUUCACAGCAGCAGACACAGUGACGCUUGCAUUGCUUAAAGGGGUCAUAGGAUGCUAAUUUCACUUUUAUAUGUUGUUUAACAUAAAUGUGUUUUGGCAGUGUGUGUACACAUCUACCCUAUAAUGAUAAAAUCCACACAGUGGUUUUAAUUUAAUCCCUAAAAAUAAUAUCCCCUUUUGCAAAUCAGGCCGUUCUCAGCUCCUUGUCUGUGUGACAUCACACGGAUGAAUGCCCCUCCCACGAAAGUUGAUUGACACUAGCGUCUUACCUUAGCUCCGCCCUGAGUGAGCUGUCAUCAGUCCAACAUUGUUUCACCGCUGGAGCAGAUGUAGACAAGAUUGUCUCCUAAGCGAUUGAGGUGUUUUGUUGUUGGAUGUAAUAAUGAACAUAGCAGUCGUCAUUUACACCCGACAUCUGAGCCGUUGAAGACACAGUGGAUUAUGUUUGUUUCUGAAGGGAAUGUGCCCCGAUCAAACUAAAUGCGUUUAUGUUCACGCGAAUCAUUCAUGAUCUAGCUUCUCCAACAGAAGAAGUGAGUAUAUGGUUUUUUAUGAAUCUUUGCAAUCGCUGUUCCUAAUAACAUGCUAGCUAGCAAGUUCUGCGGCUAGUAAACAGUCUUAGAGCAGGGUUCGUCACCUCACAGAAGAGAGGGGUGGGGUCAGCAAAGCUCAUUAGCAUUUAAAGCUACAAGCAAAAAAUGGGUUGAUUUCUGCACAGCUGAUUUUGACACGUAAAAAGGGUGUUGUUUUACACUACCAUUGAGAAAUUUUAACCAAAGUAUGUUACAGACUUUUCAUUAAGACCCUAACGAAUCAUAUUAACUUGUGGAAAAUAGGCAACCGAUGACCCCUUUAAGAAAUAAAUCUGAGUGAACUGCUUAUGCA
Molecule: long non-coding RNA, 1384 nt
Organism: Cyprinus carpio (common carp)
Lineage: Eukaryota; Metazoa; Chordata; Actinopteri; Cypriniformes; Cyprinidae
Source: Ensembl